RNAcentral lists this ribosomal RNA (59 nucleotides) under Megalospora tuberculosa. RNAcentral's name for it is "partial 28S ribosomal RNA". It matches the Rfam family "Eukaryotic large subunit ribosomal RNA", at positions 1 to 57 of the family's 3401-position model. Lineage: Eukaryota; Fungi; Ascomycota; Lecanoromycetes; Teloschistales; Megalosporaceae. The record is from RNAcentral.
AUUAACCUCGGAUCAGGCAGGGAUACCCGCUGAACUUAAGCAUAUCAAUAAGCGGAGGA